UCGACUGAUCGAGAAAAA
Molecule: ribosomal RNA, 18 nt
Filed under: Ulva linza
Lineage: Eukaryota; Viridiplantae; Chlorophyta; Ulvophyceae; Ulvales; Ulvaceae
Description: partial 26S ribosomal RNA
Source: RNAcentral